This 253-nucleotide ribosomal RNA is filed under the name uncultured bacterium. RNAcentral's name for it is "partial 16S ribosomal RNA". It matches the Rfam family "Bacterial small subunit ribosomal RNA", at positions 524 to 776 of the family's 1533-position model. The record is from RNAcentral.
UACAGAGGGGGCAAGCGUUAUUCGGAAUUAUUGGGCGUAAAGGGCGCGUAGGCGGCUUUUCAAGUGGCGGGUGAAAUCCCUCGGCUUAACCGAGGAACUGCCUGCCAGACUGGAAGGCUCGAGACCGGGAGAGGUGAGUGGAAUUCUCAGUGUAGCGGUGAAAUGCGUAGAUAUUGGGAGGAACACCAGUGGCGAAGGCGGCUCACUGGACCGGAACUGACGCUGAGGCGCGAAAGCGUGGGGAGCAAACAGG